This 492-nucleotide ribosomal RNA is filed under the name uncultured bacterium. RNAcentral's name for it is "partial 16S ribosomal RNA". It matches the Rfam family "Bacterial small subunit ribosomal RNA", at positions 29 to 507 of the family's 1533-position model. The record is from RNAcentral.
AGUGAACGCUGGCGGUAGGCCUAACACAUGCAAGUCGAACGGCAGCACAGUAAGAGCUUGCUCUUACGGGUGGCGAGUGGCGGACGGGUGAGGAAUACAUCGGAAUCUACUUUUUCGUGGGGGAUAACGUAGGGAAACUUACGCUAAUACCGCAUACGACCUACGGGUGAAAGCAGGGGAUCUUCGGACCUUGCGCGAUUGAAUGAGCCGAUGUCGGAUUAGCUAGUUGGCGGGGUAAAGGCCCACCAAGGCGACGAUCCGUAGCUGGUCUGAGAGGAUGAUCAGCCACACUGGAACUGAGACACGGUCCAGACGCCUACGGGAGGCAGCAGUGGGGAAUAGUGGACAAUGGGCGAAAGCCUGAUCCAGCCAUACCGCGUGGGUGAAGAAGGCCUUCGGGUUGUAAAGCCCUUUUGUUGGGAAAGAAAAGCAGCAGGUUAAUACCCCGCUGUUCUGACGGUACCCAAAGAAUAAGCACCGGCUAACUUCGUG